AGAGUUUGAUCCUGGGGCAGGACGAACGCUGGCGGCGUGCUUAACACAUGCAAGUCGAACGAUGAAGCCUUUCGGGGUGGAUUAGUGGCGAACGGGUGAGUAACACGUGGGCAACCUGCCCUCCACUCUGGGAUAACUCCGGGAAACCGGGGCUAAUACUGGAUAUGACCCUCCCUCGCAUGGGGGUGGGUGGAAAGUUUUUCGGUGGAGGAUGGGCCCGCGGCCUAUCAGCUUGUUGGUGGGGUGAUGGCCUACCAAGGCGGUGACGGGUAGCCGGCCUGAGAGGGCGACCGGCCACACUGGGACUGAGACACGGCCCAGACUCCUGCGGGAGGCAGCAGUGGGGAAUAUUGCACAAUGGGCGAAAGCCUGAUGCAGCGACGCCGCGUGGAGGAUGACGGCCUUCGGGUUGUAAA
RNAcentral lists this ribosomal RNA (416 nucleotides) under uncultured bacterium. Its description in RNAcentral is "bacterial SSU rRNA". It matches the Rfam family "Bacterial small subunit ribosomal RNA", at positions 8 to 429 of the family's 1533-position model. The record is from RNAcentral.